CAUAUGUGAGCGAGUUGGUCCACCAUCUGCACUGCACUCUCCAAAUGCUCAGCAAGCGCUCUCUUCAGGGUCACCACGAGUCCCCAUUAUACAGAUGGACAACCAGAGAGAACAGAAGCGCCUGCCGCCUUCCCACUGCUUCUCCUGGGAUCCACAGAAAGAAAUAGGCUCCAUUUCCCUCACUGAAAUGAUUGUCUUAACAACAGCAGCAGAAAAAACCCAACAACUUUUUCCUGAUCACAGAUACAGUGUUCAGCGUAAAACCACAUCCACCAGGAAACAUGGCGACUACCUAGACUGACUCCAAGAAGAGAGUGAAAACAGGUUCCUUCUGCCUUCCCAGCACUUCCGGUGUCGGACACAGGACAGCCCGGGGCUGCACUGCGGCAUCAAGAGGAGGCUUCACGGGUGAGCUGAGAUGAAGAUGCGUGAAAUCCACUGCUUUCUCCCCAAUGAAAAAUGACAGCCAUAAUAACAAAGACAUGAAAAUAGAAAACCUGCCUGCUCGUCCACUCUGACAACGUCACCGAAUGUGGCAUUGUUCCACCCACGAGGAAAUUCUUUAACCUCACUAAGCCUCAUGGUCCUCAUCUGCAAAGUGGGGCUGGACCCAGUGUCCAUGGCUCACGCCCAGGGACUCUGGUGAUUAAACGCCUCACUGCGGGUGUCAAGAACCCGGCACAGCGCCAGCACCCGGGGAGAGCUGUUAAUCCCGGGAAUUCUCCCACCAUGCCUCGCUUAAAGGCCUCGCUUGGACAGGCAAAUGGGGACUCGCCAGUGGAGGCCGUGACGGAGCCGCCCUGAAACGCAGCCCACAGCAUCUCUGUCCACAGCUGACAGGUGUGACGUAAUCAGGUCAGUCAGUGGCCAGGAUCCUCCUGGAAGUCUGGACUCGGAGGAGUCUGAGGGAGUCGCCUAACUCACCGCGGCACUGCAUGAGGACAGGAGGGGAGGUCACAGGCCGGCCGACCUCACUUGGAAGAGGGGUGAGAAUGGAAGGCUCAGCGCUGCAGACUCACGGGUGAAGGUGUCAGAGCUCAAACAUGCCCUCCAUUGAGCCAUAAAGAGCAUUCUGCAUACCCCGCCCGCCCUAGGAAAUCACCAGGCAUGGGUGGCUUCCUGCCCUCUGGAGACCUCCCCAAACUGUUCACCUGCUCCCUCAAAUCAAAGACCACCAAGGAGACUUCAAGGUCAAACUCAAAGUGUCAGUUUGCAAGUGACUCGAGAGAGACUGAUCUUACUGUGACAGAAAAGCCUGGAGUCUCGGUGACUCUGUGCACCAAACAGGUGGACAGGACUUGCUGGUAUCACGUGGUUCACGGGAGUCAAAAGAGGGCCUCGUGUCACAGUUAGUUUAUGAAGAUAGACAGAUGAGGGGCUGCCCUGAGGGAGUGGUUGCCUCCAAAUCAGAGAUCUAAGAAUAGCUGCAAGCAAGAAAAGCAAGGUCCACCUGAGUGCAGCUCCCUCUGCCAGGACAGACGCAGAGCCAUAGGCACUCAGACACCAAGCCACCCUCCCCAGACCAGCUAAGCCAUGGGAGACAAGCGCACACUGGGAGUUUACCGUGCCUGCUCUCCACUCCUCAUUUCUGUGUCCUCCUCCCUGGAUGGGUGCUCACCCUGCUCACGAUGACUCCAGCCGCUGGGACAGGCACCAACUUCACCUUGGAAUCUGCCUGACGUGCCGGACAGAUCUACUCAGACCAGGAUGAAAUCCCUUUUUAUCAAAAUGUGCAAAUGCAAUCAGAGAGAGGAGCAAGGGCUUGUGCCUUAUGACUUCGGGGCCCUGAGAGAGGCAGAUUCAAUGGCGUGAGGACAGAACACACCAAGGAGAGGCGGAGAAGGAAGUGGGGUGGCUGGGAAGGGGAUGCCCUCAGUCAGGGCUGUAGCUGCUGGCCCCAGAGGGGACAGGGCAGAGUGAGGAAUGUUCCCCAGAGGCUGAGCUGGUGACCAGUGAGACAGGCACCCAGAAAAGUCAGGCAGCAGACUCUGGAGACUCAGCUUGUGCUGGCUAAGAGAUAACAGGAGCAGGAGAGAGAUCCUCAGCAAACGGGAACGGGACUCAGAGAUGGAAGCGGGGGGAGGAAGAAGAGGGCAGGAGGACGGCAAAGGGAUUGAGAGGUGCUGAGUACCUGCAAGAGCUCCGCACAGGGAGUGUGAUCAGCACGCACUGGAAUGUGGUCUGAUGCAAAUGUUAAAGGGAAUGCAUGGUCCUUACCAGCACAGGGAAGUGACGGUAAAUCACAACUGAAGGUGAAAGAAUCCCUACUUUGUUUUGAAAUAAUAGAAUCUCACAACAAAGCCACUUACCCCAUUUGGUAAUUUUAUAAAAUAACAAAACUGAGGCUCAAAGCCAGGCCCACUGGGUUCCCUAGGGUAUUGCUUUGCAAAUAGGUUUCAGGUGAGUUCCCAUCAACAUCCAUUUUCAAAGCAAAGUAGAAAAAAUAAACAAAAGCACCACGUGCCUUUGUCAACUACUGUAGUUGGAGCUGUCCUGGAAAUAGAGCCUAAGACAGGAAUUAUUUUCAAGUUUGGAGGAGCAGGAAAUCCUGGUAGGAGCAUGGGGCAGUAACAGAGAGAUGGAGGGAGUGUGGAUGAGACAGUGAAGUGUGUGCCCCGCACCUCGGCUCUCUGAGAGCAGACAGCUCACCAGCUGGGGACGGGAGAGACGGAGUCGCAGGAGCUUCUCCCACCAUGGAAAGGAGCAGCCAAGGUGUUUGUCCACUCUUCCCACCUGUCACUGCUGUAGGUCUGUGCCCUUUCAGCCGGUCUGCAGGUGGGCAAAGGACACUUCCCCAGCUUUGGGAGGAGGCUGCAGGCAAAGAGCUGGACACAUCAGCACCUACAGAUCAGCAUGACCGCAUGGGAACAGGAGAUCUGAGGUUCGGAGAGGCACCUGCACCGCGGCUGCAGUGGUGAGAGGUGGUGUCAUCCACUUCCCGAGCAGCUGUAUUUCUGCUUGCCUCUGUACUGCAGACAAAUAGAAAAGGAAAACUCACCUUUCUUUUGUGCACAGUUUCACUUGGUGCUCCACAGGGGUGGCAGGCACAAAAUAUCGCCUCAGUAACUUACUUUUGCCCUCCACCCAGCUUUUCAAACUCUGUGUCCCGUACCUGCUACACCGUCAGCCUCACAUACACAUAAUGCACAGCCGGAACCACCCACUUAUCAACAUGCCAUGGUCAUGUUCAACAUAGACACCCAGAUGUGUGCAUUUCACGAGUUUUAAGCCAAGUGUAAGUGUGUUGCAAGCUUCAGAAUAUUAUAGCCCUUUAAAUCUAAUGAGAUGAGAGAAGAUUGAGUAGAUAUCUAUCAUUCCGGUCAUGGACUUUAGAAAUACGACCUACACGUUGGUGUCUUUUUUGCAUAACAAAGAGAAACAUAGGUGAACACUGUACCGUCCUUACAAAUAAGCAAGUACAUUUCAAAGAGUUUAAAAGGAAGUCUAUGUCUCAAAUAAAACUUUAUGCAUUCUACUGGUGUCACCUAAAAAACUAUUUGGAAAGUUGAUUUCUAGAAUCAUUAAACUUAAAGUCAUUUUAAUGUACAAAUCUCUGACAAGACCUAGAAGUGUAACCUA
This is a long non-coding RNA of Fukomys damarensis (Damara mole-rat), 3579 nucleotides long. RefSeq lists it as uncharacterized. NCBI's taxonomy places the organism in Eukaryota, Metazoa, Chordata, Mammalia, Rodentia, Bathyergidae. The record is from RefSeq and is a predicted model, not a curated record. The transcript has 4 exons.